Molecule: long non-coding RNA, 3146 nt
Organism: Onychomys torridus (southern grasshopper mouse)
Lineage: Eukaryota; Metazoa; Chordata; Mammalia; Rodentia; Cricetidae
Exons: 5
Source: RefSeq, a predicted model, not a curated record
ACUAUGCUCCAGGGUUUGGUUUGUUCUUAAUUUUCCAUAACCUUGAAAUGCAUCAUUUGGUUGUUCAGGAUAACUUCGGUUUUUAUGAUAUAGAAAUUGAUAGCCAUGAACUCCUCUCCUGGAUCUGCUUUAUUUGUUUGUUUGUUUUGUCUAGCAUUGGACAGUGGUGUCAUUCUCCACAAGUUAGCAUGUUGGUAGUGGAGGAGGAGCUCACGGCCAGCCCCUCUGAUAAGGAAACCCUCCAAGAUAAUGACAAGAUCUCAGUGAUCUUUGCCUAUGGCACAUUUGCAGAAAGCAUGUUUGCUGCAUCCACACAGACAUGCAGGUAGCUGUGAAGAUCUUGGACAGGGGAUCAACAAGGCCUCCAGCAUCACACUGAGGUGGACCUCAUGGAAUCUCCAUAACAUCCAACUGUCAUUAAACUCUUCUUAACUAACACACCAGCAAAUCCUUAUUUGAUCAUUGAAUUUGCAUCAGGGAGCAUCCUGAGAGUGUCACAGAGGCAUUGGCUAUACGGAGGAAGAGGAGGCACACCUCAUUUUCCACCAGAUGGUGCUAGCAUUAAUUAUGUUCAUGAAAGACACAUUGCCUGCCCAAAAAUAAAACUGGAAAAUAGUGGGUGGGACAGGAAAUGCCAAACAGUGACUUUGGGUUGGCUAUAGAAGUCACCACUGACUUUAGCAAAAGCCAAAGGAGGCCCAUGACCACCUUUCCUUUUUAGCCCACUGGAGGGUAGAGGGUACCAGGGACUUCCCACUGACAGGUGGUACCUUGGCAUAGUGAUUUAUAAUAUGGUCAUUGGUUGCAUACCACAUAAAGCAUCAACCCUUUCAGAUCUGCACAGGCUGAUCACAGCCAUACACUCCCAGAUUCCACCAAACCUGUCUAAAAGCGUGCAACAUCUCAUUGCAUACUUGCUCAAGUACAGGAUGACUAUAGGCCAGCUCAAGGGGCAUCUGUGGCUAUAUUAUUGUGAAGAAGGUUUACCACUAGCCUCCAUAGAAACAGCCCCCAGAAUCCCAAUCAAUAGCAUUGUGGAAGCCUUGUGCACCAUGGGAUACAACCUCCAGGAAACUGUGACAUCAACAAAGAACAGCAAAUUUAGUGAGGUGAAGCAACAUACAGUAUAUUGCAACAUUGUCUGAGCCAUUGAGACACUUGUCACCAGCACUGAAGUCAGUGCAGCCCUGUUUGGAAGUGAUCCCUACAGGCCCUCUCCACCUCUUUCCCAGGGAAGAGGGGACGCGAACCUGCUUUCCUUACUUUCCUCUCAUCUGGAAAGAGCUCACUGUAGGAGGAUGAUGAGAAAGGAAGGGGGCAAUGCUGCAGAAGCUGCCUGGAGAAGCGAACUUUGUGAUCCAGGCCUGCAGGAUAAUACCAUGAUACCAACAUCACAAACAACAUUCUGGGGGAGAUUAAUGCUGUCAUGACACCCUGUGACAACCCACUGGAUGAUCCAUCCUCCAUGGCAUCAAUCACCCUAGGAUAUGAAGAACCACAGGGGCCGAUAAAAGUGACAUUGGUUUGUCUUCCUGAGAAGCAUCCCGAGCCAUGCCUCACCAGGGACCAGCCCCAGGUUGUGCCACAGCCUCUGAGUCCAGUUGACAAAGGCAGGAGAGGGUUUGAAAAGACGGGUUCAUGUGCUCAGAAUAUCAAUAUGGUUGCCUCCCAUAUCAAUAAGGUUGCCUCCCAGACCCAAAGAGAAGAGAUAUAUCCCCAAGGGAACAUGUCAAGUUCUGUGGUUCCUGAACUGUGGGUCUGUGUUUAACCUGGUAUGGACCGAGAGCCACGGGAAGGAUCCAGGACAGAACUCUGGGAGGUUGUCUGCCUACAGGAAUUAUGAUACCAACAGGAAUUAUGGACAGUCCCCUGUAUCACUCCUCCAGCUGCUGGGCCUGAAGUGACAGUCCCAGCUGUUUCAGCUCACAGUAGUGUGUGCUGGAGCCAUCAACAGAUGGUUCACAUGGUGUCCACCUGAUGAAGCAUCACCCACCCCCAGCUCCUGAAGUGCCUCUGGGACGGGGCACCCACAGAGCCCAACAGUCACCUUUGGAAACAGAACUGAGAUGUUACAAGGCUCAGGUUUUUCACCAGCUUGAUCCCUUCAUGCUCAAUAGCCUUCUCACUGACCAGCAUCUGACAGAAGCACGAAAAUCAUGCCUCUGUGGUAUUGUCAUCUCCCAUCCAUGCUUCCACAGCUCUUCUGACUUUUCCUACCAACCAAGGGAUUCCUGGACUUUCACUUUGACUGGACCCCUGAGAUGAUGCUUUGGAAAGGAACACACUCUGGACCAACUAAGGAGUGGUGAGCAGUUUGCUCCUGGGGAAAGCACAGGCUUCCUAUGGUGGCAUCAUGGAACUUAUGAGCCAGGACUCGGUGUGGCCCUGACUGUGUUUUGGAGUUCAGAUCUCAACUUCAGAGCUCCUGACAGGCCAUCCUUUCUGCCAUCAGUUCUGUUGCCUUGGUUGGACCCCAUGUUAUGUGAAAGGCUCAUUUGCUCGGUGUCUUUCUCCUGAUCCAAAAGUGCAAGUGAGUUGAGGUGCGGUGGUCCUGGCAUGUUGGUGAGAGCUGUUUCGGACCAUCUGUUCCCAGAGCCUGAUGCCCAGGACAGCAGCAGAGCUACCCAGGCAAAGUUCAUCACUGCACAUAGUGUUGCGGGGGUAUGGACAUGGCCCCAGAAAACUCUUAUGCCUUUGUUCUCACCGCGCAAGAAUCAGCACUGGCUAAGGUCAAGGAGUGAUACCCUGCCCAAGGCCAUAGGCUCCCGGUGGAGCCCUCUUCUUCAGUGAUGGGCCACCUGCACUUCCAAAGAGUGAUGGUGCAUGCUUGUUCCUGUUGGUUUCCAUGCCUUCAGAGGGCAGAGGUGACCAGGUGGCACCAACUGUCCUCUUUUUCUCCAGUGUCCUACUGUUGCAAGACUGUUUUUGUUCACUCUGUCUGGCAGCUUCAAGCUUCUGUCUGCCCCCCAGAUGUUUGUGAACUAAAGGAAAACAAACAAACAAACAAACAAACAAACAAAAACCACGUCAAUGGAAACACUGUGCACUGGCUCUGGGCUCCUUGCAAGUGAGGCUCACAGUGCAUCUGCCUAUAUGAAUAAACCUUUUAGGUAUUAGCCCAGGGUGAAAAUGCCAUUUACCUUAGA